This 957-nucleotide long non-coding RNA is filed under the name Nicotiana tabacum (common tobacco). RNAcentral's name for it is "long non-coding RNA (NTAB_LNC013848)". The record is from RNAcentral. Lineage: Eukaryota; Viridiplantae; Streptophyta; Magnoliopsida; Solanales; Solanaceae.
UCAGCAUUAGGGUUUUAAACCCUAAACUGAACUUUUUCCUUUCAGCCAGCAUUAGGGUUUUAAACGCUAAACUGAGCUUUUCCAUGCAAUCAGCAUUAGGGUUUUAAACCCUAAACUGAAUUUUCCUUCUAAGUCAGCAUUAGGGUUUUAAACCCUAAACUGGACCUUUUCCAUUUCAGUCAGCAUUAGGGGUUUUAAACCCUAAACUGAACUUUUUCCUUUCAGCCAGCAUUAGGAUUUUAAACCCUAAACUGAGCUUUUCCAUGCAAUCAGCAUUAGGGUUUUAAACCCUAAACUGAGUUUUUCCUUUUAGUCAGCAUUAGGGUUUUAAAACCCUAAACUGAACUUUUUCCUUUUAGUCAGCAUUAGGGUUUUAAACCCUAAACUGAACUUUUUCCUUUCAGCCAGCAUUAGGGUUUUAAACCCUAAACUGAGCUUUUCCAUGCAAUCAGCAUUAGGGUUUUAAACCCUAAACUGAGUUUUUCCUUUUAGUCAGCAUUAGGGUUUUAAACCCUAAACUGAACUUUUUCCUUUCAGCCAGCAUUAGGGUUUUAAACCCUAAACUGAGCUUUUCCAUGCAAUCAGCAUUAGGGUUUUAAACCCUAAACUGAAUUUUCCUUUUAAUCAGCAUUAGGGUUUUAAACCCUAAACUGAAUCUUUCCUUUUAAUCAGCAUUAGGGUUUUAAACCCUAAAUUGAGCUUUUCCAUGCAAUCAGCAUUAGGGUUUUAAACCCUAAACUGGACCUUUUCCUUUCAGUCAGCAUUAGGGUUUUAAACCCUAAACUGAACUUUUUCCUUUCAGCCAGCAUUAGAGUUUUAAACGCUAAACUGAGCUUUUCCAUGCAAUCAGCAUUAGGGUUUUAAACCCUAAACUGAGCUUUUCCAUGCAAUCAGCAUUAGGGUUUUAAACCCUAAACUGAAUUUUUCCUUUUAGUCAGCAUUAGGGUUUUAAAACCU